RNAcentral lists this long non-coding RNA (252 nucleotides) under Prunus persica (peach). RNAcentral's name for it is "long non-coding RNA (PPER_LNC002529)". Lineage: Eukaryota; Viridiplantae; Streptophyta; Magnoliopsida; Rosales; Rosaceae. The record is from RNAcentral.
GGAGGGGUAGUAGAAAAUACAUGGCGUUUGUAUGGUAAUAACGUCCGAACGUCUUCAUAGGAGAAAAUCUAUAUAUAUAGCCUCCUUCUAUUGAGGGAUCCCUAAAAUAAUUUUAUUUAAUGGACACCCUUUAGGGUCCCCUACCCAAAAAAUUUCAACGAUCCAAACCAUCCAUUUAAGUCUACAUUCAUAAAUCAUCUUUUUGCAAAAAAUUAUACAAAUCGGAAACCGUUUUCACAUCCAAUUGUGUCC